GCAAAUAAUCCAAUAAUUUUUAAUAUGUGCGGCUACUUAUAAAAUAGUUAGAAAACGUGACUAUUAUUUUCCAUGUGUAUGUUAUACAUUUCAAAAUCAUGCAUAUACGUCUAAUCAGUAUGUUCAAUUACUUUUAUAAGCAUAACAAACCAAAAUUAUGUGUGAGGUCUAAUGGUUAAAAGCCAUAACAUCUCACACAUAUCGACACUGUUGUUUCAUAAGGGCCAAUGUCGCAAACGUAAACAAUGCCUUUUCCUGCAAAUUCCUCAACACCUAGGAUCGCUCCCAGCUAACAACCACUUGGAACUGGUGGCGCUCCGCGCCUUCUAUCGAAUGGAAGUGGAAAAUACCGCCAGAAGUCUCUAAUCCUCCUGAAAUCAGCAAAAGAAGUCAAUGUUUACGUUUGCGACUUUCGCCCUUUUGAAACAACAAUGUCGAUAUAAUGGAUUGUUUUUCGAUAAUGACAUUGAUAACGAAAUUCAAGAAGCAAAGCGAAGAAAAAAUAAAAUGGCGCCGGAAAAAAGUUCGGUUUUGUGCUCCUAGCUAAAUAAAGCGCUUUCAUUUCUAAAUUUCAUCAUACGUUAAACGUAUAAAAAUAAAUAUAUUUAAUAUCUCAUUCAAUUAAAUUCCAACAUGUUUUUAGUUUAGUGUACUGCAUUUUCGCCAUAAAAUAAACAAUAUUCAUCCCAGGUAACCAUAAGCAUUAAAAUAAGCCAUAGCGAUAAAAAUCUGUUCCCCGAUGGAGAAUCUAUAAUAAAUAUUUGCCGGCGCAGGUGCGGGAGUAGCUUGUUGCUGUAUCCGAGGACAAACCAAUCGGUUCCCACCAGCCGCUCUGAACUUCCCAAAUGGAACUGCUGGAAGCAUUCGGUCAUCUUUGUUCCGGUGAUUCCCCGUUCAAAUCGUCCCGCCAAUGAACAACCUACUGAUUUUGAUACAAUCAAUGAAAAGGACUCUGCAGUAUUAUGUGAUAUUUUGUAGCUGAUGAUUGGUUGAUUGGCGAGCUUUGGGAGCAACACCGGGUUUGAUUUCCGCCGCCUUCCAUUAGAAGCAUGAAACACAAGCUAUUCACCGGUCAACAAAUUAUGUAAAGGUCGUGUAACGUAAAAGCUUGUCAAAACCGAGUCAAUAUUCUUAUUGGUUGUUCGGCUACGGCACCGAAAUCACCGGAGUUCUUUUCCAUUUUUGAAAAGUACGAUGUUGUUCAUCAAAGAUCAGAGAUUUAGCGUAACGGAAACAGGUCACAGUUUAUACAAAUCGUAAUGAGGGCUGCUGCUAAAAGCUGUGCGACUUUUGAGAUUACUGUAUAAUAAUUCAUUAUGUAUUGAAAAUAUAAGUUGAUUAUAAAUAAAUAAAAUUUAUUUUUUGAAUUACUG
Armigeres subalbatus is the source of this 1373-nucleotide long non-coding RNA. RefSeq lists it as uncharacterized. The transcript is spliced from 3 exons. NCBI's taxonomy places the organism in Eukaryota, Metazoa, Arthropoda, Insecta, Diptera, Culicidae. The record is from RefSeq and is a predicted model, not a curated record.